AGAAUAAAGCCACAUCUCUCAGCCUCCCUUGCAGCUUGGUGUGCCAGUGCCGAAGCUUGGAUGAUGCUGUGGAGGAGAGUAUGCAAACUGAUGGAGAUGUGGAGGUCAGUUGGAUGAUGAGGGGACAGAAAUGCAUAAUCACACUUGGAGACAUCUGCUUCACUCCAUUUAAAAUUUAUUCUAAUAUAAAAAUUCACAAUGAACAGGGAUUGAUAUCAUUGGAUGUCUGUCCUUUCCAAAUCUUGUAUUGAAAUGUGAUCCCCAGUGUUGGAGGUGGGGCCUAGUGGGAGGUGUUCGGCUCAUGGGGAUGAAUCCCUCAUGAAUUUCCUGGUGCUGUCCUCAUGUAAUGAGUGAGUUUUUAUGAGAUAUCGUUGUUUAAAAAGAGCUUGGCACUUCUGCCUCUCUCUCUUGCUCCUGGCUUGCCAUGUGAUGUGCCUGAUCUUUCUUUGUCUUCCACCAUUAUUGUAAACUUCCUGAGGCCCUCACCAGGAACAGAUGCUGGCACCAUGCUUCUUGUACAGCCUGAAUAACUAUGAGUCAAUUAAAUCUCUUUUCUGUAUAACUAACCCAGUCUUAGGUAUUUCUUUGCAAUGCAAAUGGACUAAUAUAAAAUUGGUAGGAGGAGUGAGAUGUUGCUAUAAAGACACCUGAAGAUGUGGAACAAGCUUUGGAACUGGAUAUCGGGCGGAGGUUGGAAGAGUUUGGAGGGCUCAGAAGAAGAAAAGAAGAAAAAGGAGAGUUUGGAACUUCAUAGAGACUUGUUAAGUGGUUGUGACCAAAAUGUUGAUAAUAAAUAUUUACAAUGAAAGGCCAGGCUGACAAGGCCUCAGAGGGAAAUGGGGAAGUUGUUAGGAACUGGAAUAAAUGUCACUUUUAUUAUGCCCUAGCAAAGAACUUGACUGCAUUUUGUCCACGUCCCAGGAAUCUGUGGAAGUUUGAACUUAAGAGUGAUGACUUAGGAUAUCUGGUGGAAGAAAUU
RNAcentral lists this long non-coding RNA (979 nucleotides) under Homo sapiens (human). RNAcentral describes it as "HSALNT0315700". Lineage: Eukaryota; Metazoa; Chordata; Mammalia; Primates; Hominidae. The record is from RNAcentral.